Molecule: ribosomal RNA, 253 nt
Filed under: uncultured bacterium
Lineage: Bacteria
Description: partial 16S ribosomal RNA
Rfam family: Bacterial small subunit ribosomal RNA
Source: RNAcentral
UACAGAGGUCUCAAGCGUUGUUCGGAUUCAUUGGGCGUAAAGGGUGCGUAGGUGGCGCCGUAAGUCAGGUGUGAAAUCUCGGGGCUCAACCCCGAAACUGCACUUGAUACUGCGGUGCUCGAGUACUGGAGAGGAGAUUGGAAUUUACGGUGUAGCAGUGAAAUGCGUAGAUAUCGUAAGGAAGACCAGUGGCGAAGGCGAAUCUCUGGACAGUUACUGACACUGAGGCUCGAAGGCCAGGGGAGCAAACGGG